RNAcentral lists this ribosomal RNA (445 nucleotides) under HMWdDNA-degrading marine bacterium 50. Its description in RNAcentral is "bacterial SSU rRNA". It matches the Rfam family "Bacterial small subunit ribosomal RNA", at positions 12 to 455 of the family's 1533-position model. The record is from RNAcentral.
UUUGAUCCUGGCUCAGGAUGAACGCUAGCGGCAGGCCUAAUACAUGCAAGUCGAACGAGAUUCUAUUCUUCGGAAUAGAUGAAAGUGGCGCACGGGUGCGUAACGCGUAUGCAACCUACCCUUAACAGGGGGAUAGCCCAGAGAAAUUUGGAUUAAUACCCCAUAGUACUACAAGAUGGCAUCUGAAAGUAGUUAAAGAUUUAUCGGUUAAGGAUGGGCAUGCGUGACAUUAGAUAGUUGGUGAGGUAACGGCUCACCAAGUCAACGAUGUCUAGGGGUUCUGAGAGGAUGAUCCCCCACACUGGUACUGAGAUACGGACCAGACUCCUACGGGAGGCAGCAGUAGGGAAUAUUGGUCAAUGGGCGAGAGCCUGAACCAGCCAUGCCGCGUGCAGGAAGACAGCUUUCUGAGUUGUAAACUGCUUUUAUACGGGAAGAAAAGCCG